Molecule: long non-coding RNA, 460 nt
Filed under: Vombatus ursinus (common wombat)
Lineage: Eukaryota; Metazoa; Chordata; Mammalia; Diprotodontia; Vombatidae
Description: lncRNA (ENSVURG00010019260.1)
Source: RNAcentral
CGGACGCACUGACAGCGGCGCCAGUCGGGCUGUGGCUAGUCGUUCUCGCGGUCCACACCACUGAGGCGAGAGGAGGAGGGGGAGCUCUGAGGAGAAGAAUGAGGACGAAUCGGCACCUUCGCUGCUCGACCCCCCCUGCGCUCCUGUCCACCCGGCGCAAGCACUUUUUCUCUUGCGACUGAGCGCGCUGCUGAGGCAGAUGCAGCCGAGCCAGGAGGCAGCCUGGCCAGGGGAGCCACUGUCCAGUUUCCCAUCUCCUGGCCAUCGCUUCUUAUAAGACAAACAUUAGCAGAGACUAAGAGCACACCUACAAUUCAAUUCCAAGGAGGCGUGGUACAAGGGAAAAAGCAAUUCAUCUGGAGUCUGAGAGCCUGGGUUCAAAUCCUGCCUCUAGGAUUGUGGGUAAAUCAAUUAACCCUCCUGGGACUUUUUCCUCAUGUGAAAAACAAGUGGGUUGGAC